Long non-coding RNA from Pteropus alecto (black flying fox), 1202 nucleotides. RefSeq lists it as uncharacterized. The record is from RefSeq and is a predicted model, not a curated record. The transcript is spliced from 4 exons. NCBI's taxonomy places the organism in Eukaryota, Metazoa, Chordata, Mammalia, Chiroptera, Pteropodidae.
UGCCGAAAAGGGCUCACGGGAAUCUGUCCCUGAGCAACACGGGCGGCCACGAGCGUGACUCACAGCAGGACACGUGGAUUCGGAACCGUAGGUCCCUAAGGUGACCUGGCUGUCCCCCACACAAGCCGACCCCUCUCCGGUCCCCGGCAAAGCUUGCUGGUGAUCCCGCUGCUUUGCCCAGACACCAGGAGGUGUUUUUUGAACGACCUCAGCAUCAAUGGGCGGACUUUGUGUAAAGCAGAUAACCCUCCGCGAGGUGGGCCGCAUCCAAUCAGUCGACGGUCUUACUGGAACAUAGACUGACGCCCCGAGCCAGAGGGAAUUCUGCCGGCGACGGCACCCCACCUGCAGGUAGGGACACUUUCCAGUUCCCAUGCCUUUUCUUUCUUUCUCCUGCCGCGGUGUGGUGGCCGGAACUUCCACGAACACGCUGAAUGAAGUGACAACGAGCUCCUGACCUUCGACCUUCUCGGGAGGGUGUGCAGCCGCCCCCCGCCGGGCAUGACGUUCCCCUCCGUGUUCUCGCAGAUGCUUCUCAUCAGUAGGUUACGGCGCCGAUGCACUUUGUGGUCGUCUUUCUGGCGUGUUUUCGUCGUCUGCUCCUUCUGAAGAUCGAAUUCUCAGUCCCAGGGAGGAAGGAGUGGGCAGGGGGCUGCCACAUCCGUUCCAGGCCGCGGGCGUCUGGAACCACCCGGAAAGUAGUUCUGGUCUGGACGCCACAUUUAAGGCACCGAAUGAUUCAUGAAGUUUCAUUGCUUAGUCCAUUUAUGCUAAGGCCACUGAACUGCGCAUGGAAUUCAAAGACGAGGCCCGACGAGGUUCUCACAAUAACGCCUUUCGACACCUGUAGAGACGUGAGUGCGUGAGAACCGCAAGGCCCAGCAUGGGCCUGGCCGCCUUCCCGUGUUUGGGGCGACACCUUGCGCAUGGUGUCGCUCCACGGAUAGCGUGGCAUAGAUGGACGACGUCGGGGACGAAUUGAAAUAUGAAUUCUUUAUUUUAAGAAAGCCACAGCCGUAUCAAGCAAAAACACCAUCCCUGGAGCUUUUGUUGUGACAAGGCCCUGUGCCGGGCCCCGUGGGAAAUCAGAACAGUGCGGAUCGUGAAGUCUGUCCUCGAACUUACCAUGUUUGAGGAAACAGAUUCGUUUUGAUUGUGUUUCCCUGGGGUGGCCCGGGCGGUGGCUUUGGGAUGCACGGCCA